AGCUUUACUCCUGCCAGCUUGGGAAAAGGCCGGAGAAGGUGAAAUUCUGUGUGCUCCCUCCGGCGAGAGACUUUGUCAGCUCCCGCACAGUAACUAGCAGAAGCAGAGUCCCAGGAUCCAUUUCUUACGUUACUAUGCGAGAUGCAGAAGAGAGAGUGUUUUGCUCUGUUGGCUAGGCUGGAGUGCAGUGGUUGGGUCAUGGCUCACUGCAGCUGUUACUGGAUAGAGGUCCCGAUGCAUAUCCUAAGAGAAGGUUCUUGGAUAUCAUGCAAGAAAGAAUUUCAGGUGAAUCCAUAAAGCAAGAGCAAGUUUAUUAACAAAGUAAGGGAAUAAAAGAAUGGCCAUUCCAUAGUCAGAAUAGCAGCUUGAGCUGCUUGAAUGAUAAUACUUAUAGUUAUUUCUUGAU
Molecule: unclassified non-coding RNA, 406 nt
Filed under: Homo sapiens (human)
Lineage: Eukaryota; Metazoa; Chordata; Mammalia; Primates; Hominidae
Description: interferon alpha inducible protein 27 like 1 (ENSG00000276880.3)
Source: RNAcentral